CUGCCUCUAGGAGCCUGUGGAACGGGAAUAGUAAUAUUGUCCUAUAAGAUCAUUGGGAGUUUUAAGUGAUGUGACCACUCUUACCCCAUUUGCUGGUUUUAUUUUCUUGACAACAUUUAUUACUGCCUGAAAGACAAUAGCCCUUGUUUAUAUUCUGUCCAUUGCUCCUCCUGCCCUGGUGUAAGUUCAAUGCUAUUUUCCCAAUGUCUAGGGACAGUGCUCGGCACCUAGUAACUGCUUAGUAAAUAUUUACUGUAUGAACAAAGGUGAAAUUAACGCUUUUGUAAAGCACAUGGUAGAGACUCAAUCAUUGGUAUUUUUCCUUCUCAAGAGUUUAGGUUUACCUCUAUGCUCACUGUAGCAGCCUGUGGCUCAGAAAUGACCUGGACUCAACACUGUACGACUCAAGCCAUGGAAUUCAGCAGAAUCCUCAUCGUUUGGGCCAAACAGGGUACAGUUUGAAGGCAUCUGCUUCAAAAC
This 480-nucleotide long non-coding RNA is filed under the name Canis lupus familiaris (dog). RNAcentral describes it as "lncRNA (ENSCAFG00000058779.1)". The record is from RNAcentral. Lineage: Eukaryota; Metazoa; Chordata; Mammalia; Carnivora; Canidae.